Molecule: ribosomal RNA, 495 nt
Filed under: uncultured bacterium
Lineage: Bacteria
Description: partial 16S ribosomal RNA
Rfam family: Bacterial small subunit ribosomal RNA
Source: RNAcentral
GACGAACGCUGGCGGCGUGCCUAAUACAUGCAAGUAGAACGCUGAAGGAGGAGCUUGCUUCUCUGGAUGAGUUGCGAACGGGUGAGUAACGCGUAGGUAACCUGCCUGGUAGCGGGGGAUAACUAUUGGAAACGUUAGCUAAUACCGCAUAAUAGUAGAUGUUGCAUGACAUUUGCUUAAAAGGUGCACUUGCAUCACUACCAGAUGGACCUGCGUUGUAUUAGCUAGUGGGUGGGGUAACGGCUCACCAAGGCGACGAUACAUAGCCGACCUGAGAGGGUGAUAUGCCACACUGGGACUGAGACACGGCCCAGAGUCCUACGGGAGGCAGCAGUAGGGGAUCUUUGGCAAUGGAAGGAAGUCUGACCGAGCGACGCCGCGUGAGUGAAGAAGGGUUUCGGAUCGUAAAGCUCGGUUGUAAGAGAAGAACGAGUGUGAGAGUGGAAAGUUCACACUGUGACGGUAUCUUAACAGAAAGGGACGGCUAACUACGUG